This 116-nucleotide small RNA is filed under the name Rhizobium leguminosarum. Its description in RNAcentral is "sRNA ar35". It matches the Rfam family "Alphaproteobacterial sRNA ar35". Lineage: Bacteria; Pseudomonadati; Pseudomonadota; Alphaproteobacteria; Hyphomicrobiales; Rhizobiaceae. The record is from RNAcentral.
GCGGCAUUGGCCGCAACGCCGCGUCGUUCCUAGCUCUUGACCACCGAUGUGCUGGCGCUGGUGAUUGAACGACGAUGCGGAAGGUCGGUGCGAGUUCGACCCGGCCUUUUUUUGUU